UCUGGAGACUGUGAACCCUUGCGUUCGCCCCGGGCUACGAAAGCAAAAAUCAAAGUGAUUCUAACUAAAGCCACUAGGUCCAGCAGCAAGGUCAGGAUCCCAACACAGCUACCUGCAGCUCAACAUACUGAUAAGCUUCGAGAUGGUCAGCUUAACUCAACAAAUAAUAAUCAAGAAAUGAGUGGAGAUAUUGCAACAGUGGAAGCUCACAAUGGAACCCAAGUGCUUGAUUCGUUGUACAGUGAUGGUGGCGGCUCAGAUUUGUUAAAUGAGCAGCUAAAGGAAAGGGAUGUUGAAUUUGAGGAGAACCCUAUGCAACCCUUAGCCUUUGAUGAGGCAAUGUUUAAGAAUUG
RNAcentral lists this long non-coding RNA (353 nucleotides) under Gossypium barbadense (sea-island cotton). Its description in RNAcentral is "long non-coding RNA (GBAR_LNC017512)". Lineage: Eukaryota; Viridiplantae; Streptophyta; Magnoliopsida; Malvales; Malvaceae. The record is from RNAcentral.